RNAcentral lists this long non-coding RNA (1144 nucleotides) under Volvox carteri. Its description in RNAcentral is "long non-coding RNA (VCAR_LNC004221)". Lineage: Eukaryota; Viridiplantae; Chlorophyta; Chlorophyceae; Chlamydomonadales; Volvocaceae. The record is from RNAcentral.
CUUCAUCGCGGCCGCUGCUACUCCGUUGCUAAAUCCUGCCACCGCCGCGCCUGCUGCUGUCUCUAUUUCCCGCCGCUGCUGCGCCUGCCGUUGAGGCUACUGCAUCUCCCAACCCCACCGCCGUCGCUGCUGGUGCUGCUGCUGUGUUGCUAAUUCCCGCCGCCUCCACGCCUGCCGUUUAGGCUACUGCACCUCCCAGCCCCACCUUCAUCGCGGCCGCUGCUACUCCGCUGCUAAUUCCUGCCGCCGCCGCGCCUGCUGCUGUCUCUAUUUCCCGCCGCUGCCGCGUCUGAUGUUUAGGCUACUGCACCUCCCAGCCCCACCUUCGUCGCUGCCGCUGCUACUCCAUUGCUAAUUCCUGCCACCGCCGCGCCUGCUGCUGUCUCUAUUUCCCGCCGCUGCUGCGCCUGCCGUUUAGGCUACUGCACCUCCCAGCCCCACCUUCGUCGCGGCCGCUGCUACUCCGUUGCUAAUUCCUGCCACCGCCGCGCCUGCUGCUGUCUCUAUUUCCCCCCGCCUCCACGCCUGCCGUUUAGGCUACUGCACCUCCCAGCCCCACCUUCAUCGCGGCCGCUGCUACUCCGCUGCUAAUUCCUGCCGCCGCCGCGCCUGCUGCUGUCUCUAUUUCCCGCCGCUGCCGCGUCUGAUGUUUAGGCUACUGCACCUCCCAGCCCCACCUUCGUCGCUGCCGCUGCUACUCCAUUGCUAAUUCCUGCCACCGCCGCGCCUGCUGCUGUCUCUAUUUCCCGCCGCUGCUGCGCCUGCCGUUUAGGCUACUGCACCUCCCAGCCCCACCUUCGUCGCGGCCGCUGCUACUCCGUUGCUAAUUCCUGCCACCGCCGCGCCUGCUGCUGUCUCUAUUUCCCGCCGCUGCUGCGCCUGCCGUUUAGGCUACUGCACCUCCCAGCCCCACCUUCAUCGCGGCCGCUGCUACUCCGCUGCUAAUUCCUGCCGCCGCCACGCCUGCUGCUGUUGCUAUUUCCCCCCCCCGCCGUGCCUGCUGUUGAGACUAAUGGACCUCCCAGCCCCACCUUCGUUGCUGCCGCUGCUACUCCGUUGCUAAUUCCCGCCGCCGCCGCGCCUGCUGCUGUUGCUAUUUCCCACCACCACCGUGCCUGAUGUUCAGACUAAUGCACCUCCCAGC